GAUGAACGCUAGCGGCAGGCCUAACACAUGCAAGUCGAACGGUAAUCUCGACUUCGGUCGAGAACGAGUGGCGAACGGGUGCGUAACGCGUAUACAAUCUACCUUUUACAGGGGAAUAGCCUUUAGAAAUGAAGAAUAAUACCCCAUAGUUCCCGAUUACCGCAUGGUACGUCGGGAUAAAGAUUUAUCGGUAAAAGAUGAGUAUGCGUUCUAUUAGCUAGAUGGUAAGGUAACGGCUUACCAUGGCUACGAUAGAUAGGGGCCCUGAGAGGGGGAUCCCCCACACUGGUACUGAGACACGGACCAGACUCCUACGGGAGGCAGCAGUGAGGAAUAUUGGACAAUGGGCGCGAGCCUGAUCCAGCCAUGCCGCGUGCAGGAAGACUGCCCUACGGGUUGUAAACUGCUUUUAUACAGGAAGAAACCCACGCUCGUGAGCGUGGCUGACGGUACUGUAAGAAUAAGGAUCGGCUAACUCCG
RNAcentral lists this ribosomal RNA (480 nucleotides) under uncultured Flavobacteriaceae bacterium. RNAcentral's name for it is "bacterial SSU rRNA". It matches the Rfam family "Bacterial small subunit ribosomal RNA", at positions 28 to 505 of the family's 1533-position model. Lineage: Bacteria; Pseudomonadati; Bacteroidota; Flavobacteriia; Flavobacteriales; Flavobacteriaceae. The record is from RNAcentral.